CAGAGUAAAUAUAUGUGCGUUAAGUGUUGUGUGAACGGGGAGUUGUCACAUAAACGAAAAGGUCUUCUUGCGGUACAUAUAUUGCAUCCCGCUGC
RNAcentral lists this non-coding RNA (95 nucleotides) under bovine gut metagenome. Its description in RNAcentral is "THF riboswitch". It matches the Rfam family "THF (Tetrahydrofolate) riboswitch aptamer". From Rfam's summary of the family: THF riboswitch presents a pseudoknot that joins P1-P2 and the loop of P3 and two THF binding. The record is from RNAcentral.